Molecule: long non-coding RNA, 1227 nt
Organism: Portunus trituberculatus (swimming crab)
Lineage: Eukaryota; Metazoa; Arthropoda; Malacostraca; Decapoda; Portunidae
Exons: 2
Source: RefSeq, a predicted model, not a curated record
CCUGCCUUCACGAAAAGGUGUAUCUCGUCUGCGUCCCUCUCUCUAUUCUGCCACUCCGCUGCCAACAAUCCAUUCCAGCCCGUGCAAGGCAUGCCGGUCGAGGAGACCAAGGAAUCUGGUCACGUAUAGUGGUGGCCUCUAACGCCAGUCACACAUAUGGUUCAUGGAAGGCAUUAUCCCCACCAACACCUACUACAGCGAUAGACUUUCGCAAGCAACUUCUCUUUAGUCUUCUUCAGCCUCGAGCAGCUUGAGGAUGUGAGGGGCGAGGCUAAGAAGAAGGUGCGCGACAUGUAUGAGAAUGUGUGUAGCAGUGAUAUUAAGACCCCAAGGCUAUAGGCCGUUUCACACCGGAGACGACGCACACGACGCACGAAAGUCGGCCUGACUUUGGUUGCUAUGGGUAUGUUCACACCAGGCGCGAAGCUAGGCGAGACAUUCGCGGUGGUGGAGGCUGGUUGACUUGACAAUUCUUGACGUGACACUCCGGUUACUGAUGGAGCUGACACCGUCCCGUCACCGCCUUUCUCAUCAUGACUGUUUUCCAGGGCCACAGAGAUGACUAGCCUGGUUUUCAAUAGUGUUUCUUCAAUUGAUAAUACAAAAAUCUUCUUUUCGAAUUGUGGGGAAACGUACCAAAACAUGAAACAGUUCAAGAUUCUCACUAUAUCUUUUCCCUGAACAAACAACUGUAUCGGUGUUACGCCCAAACUCAAAAGCAAGAGUAACUGCAGUUGCCAAAUCUUAUAUUAGGUAUCAGAUCAAUGUGAAUUGCACUCAGAGGUGUUAACGACAGUUGCAAAUGCUCUUAUCUUAAGUUAGGAUAUGUUAUUGACAGAUAUUGACAUAACAACGCCUAAAUCUUCUUCAAUAAAUAAGUAGAUAUCAUAAGCAUGUUAGAAAGUUACCUAUAACACAGACAGAUAGGUCAUGGAUGAAUAUGUAACAAUUCUGAUUCUAAUUGUAUAAGGAUAAGAAAAGGUAAAUUUAGUGCAGUUGUGGCGUCGCCUAGGGGUGUAAGGAACUUAUGAAUCGCCUUAGGGCGUCAGUCGGGUAGUGAGCGUGCCGCCAAAAAGAUCAGGUGCGAGGUCAGCGAAAAGUAUACACUCAAAUUUACUAGACAAGAAGCAACGUACCGACUUUCAAUCGUGAAAUGUGAUUGUGUGCGUGCGAGAACAUUGUAAUUUGUGAGAAGAAUUAUCCUUUGUAAUAAAACCAAGAAAGGAA